RNAcentral lists this small RNA (176 nucleotides) under Chelonoidis abingdonii (Abingdon island giant tortoise). RNAcentral's name for it is "TUC338 (ENSCABG00000022175.1)". The record is from RNAcentral. Lineage: Eukaryota; Metazoa; Chordata; Testudines; Testudinidae.
AUGACUGGCCUGGAGACUGAAGUCCUUUGUUUAUCUGCAGAACAGGUGCAUUAUGGACAGCAGUACAGCUGCAAUACCCAGCAUUGUGCCUUAUCCCUAAACUAGAGGGACUCCAUGUGGGGGGGGGGGGCGCGGAGGGUAUUUCAGUAUCCAUGCCAAAUUAGUCAGGCACAUCA